CCUGUAGCAUCCGCUGGAACUGGUCCGCCCGCUCCACCUUGUACCUGGGUUUCUGUAGGAGCACUUGCCGGAAGUGUUUGGAGACUUCGGUGUGGAUCGGCCCAGGCUGGCGGAGCAGGU
Molecule: non-coding RNA, 120 nt
Filed under: Eutreptiella gymnastica
Lineage: Eukaryota; Euglenozoa; Euglenophyceae; Eutreptiales; Eutreptiaceae
Source: RNAcentral